Solanum dulcamara is the source of this 1088-nucleotide long non-coding RNA. RefSeq lists it as uncharacterized. The transcript has 4 exons. NCBI's taxonomy places the organism in Eukaryota, Viridiplantae, Streptophyta, Magnoliopsida, Solanales, Solanaceae. The record is from RefSeq and is a predicted model, not a curated record.
UUACCCUUUUUAGGAUCUGAUGGUUAAAGAAUUAUCACACCAUUGUUCAAAGCCUCACACUAGUUGAUACUUCUUGAGUUCUUUAUCUUUUUAAGCAUUUGAUGAUUCUCUUUUAAUGGUAAUUGGAGACUAUGCCAUAUCGUGUGUGAUCUGUUGGUUGUCCUUUGAUGAUUUGUAGAUAAUACUUGAAAAAUACAAAUAUGCAGAUACGGCUAUAAAAGUUGAGAAUCCCCCUCGCUAAAGUUGAUUUUAUGGACUGGACAUUCCCGGAUUAUAAUUAGAAAAUGGUAAUGCAAUCGUGGACAACAAACAAUUUGCUCUAUUAAGGGUACUGUUUGACUCUCCGACAUAUAUGAUGAAUUACGAAGAAUCUCUAUUUUACUUUGUAGGUGAAUAAGGUUCUUAAAUUGCAAUAAUUGAUACUAAAUUAGCAGAUUAUAUGCAUUCUUCACAAAAUGUGAACUCAUCGUAGGAUCUUGCAAUUUUUGCAGUGGUCUAAACGUUGAAAUUUUAUUUUUAGAAUUCGUUGAUCUUUGUUUUGAUGUUAUCAAUCAUUUAACACCUUGUGUUAAGGAGUCCUGCUUUGGGGAUUCAUUGACGUUCUUCAGGAAGGAAUGAUGACGGAAAGUGGAACGGGAAAGCAAGCUUCUUUCGCCCUUGACAUAGUACUACAAAAAAAAGAUUCCUAAAGAAGAAAACAUAUAUGCAGUGAAUGGAGCAUAUCCCAACAAUAUCCAUAGAUUAAAUUGACCAAGCAAAGUCACUGGAACCCUAAGCUUUACUGGCGAGCCAUUUCAACAAGCAGGAAUCCUUCUGCCCGACGUUUGUUCCCAAUCAGCAAAGCCUUGGACUACAGCUUGCCCAACUAGGCCAAGAUGCUUCUGCUGCAGUGAGUUAAAUGGUCCUUUACUGCCAAAUUUGACAGGGUAAAAUGGUACUAUUUCUUGAAGAGUUUGUAGUAGCAGGGGGUAUCAUUGAAGUUCAUUCCUUCGGAAGGUUUUUUUCUGAUUCAGCUGCUGCCUAAUCCACGAACAUGCUCAUGAACCGAGAGUCGUCUAGGGACUGACGGAGGGAGCUUGCUUAUAUAU